GUGCUAGAAACGAUGAUGUUGGUCCCGCACAUGUAACUAGUGUUAAAAUAGAGCUUUGCUCGUAAACCAAAUCAGGUGGACUUGGUUAACCUUGCGGAAAUGCUGGGUUGGCUUGUCUACGAAUUGUAAUAAUUAUAUGCGCGGGGGUGAAUCCUUUGCAGACGACUUGAAUGGGAACGGGGUACUGUAAGCGGUAGAGUAGCCUUGUUGCUACGAUCCGCUGAGGUUAAGCCCUUGUUCUAAAGAUUUGUUCAACUAUGUUGGACUCUUUCUUUUUCUAACGGAAUAAAUACCUGAGGGCCGGCUCCAGAGAACUUUGAAUAUGUGAGUGUUCUGUUCCUUGGAAUAGUCACUGUGAUGACUCGCAUUCUCUUCCCCGUCUUACACGACUAUGAGGAGGUAUAAGAGUUGUCUAUUGUUCGCGCAAUAGACUCUAUAACAGUGCACUUGCCAGUGCCAUUCAGUCUGACUCUUUAUCAAUGAGGUCAUCAGCAAUGAAACUGACUUCGGAGUUCUCAUUUCUAGUGUCUAUUGAUGGAGUCUUUAUUGGGGGAGGAUCACAUUUAACCGGUGAGUUGACUGUGUUUAAAUUGGACUUGUGUACGGAUGAAACACUUCCUACAUUCGCAGUUUCUAACUCUAGUGUUCUCCGUGACCCGGGGUACUCCUCCAAUACCUAAUGUCUAUUAUUCCCCCUUUGUGAUGUUGAACCCAUUGACUCACAAAGCUUGUGGGCCGCCAUUAGGGUGCGCUGGGCAAAAGGUGGGGGUCAACACAAUGAGAGCUCAAUGUGACCUUCCUUUGGAUGUCUGACCUUUAAUGAAGUGCUUGGAAAUUGAAGUCAGUUUACUGACUACAAAAGUCUAGGUCAAAACCUGGUCACAAAGGGUACUGAUAUCCACGGCCAUAGGACUCUGAAAGC
This 922-nucleotide unclassified non-coding RNA is filed under the name Pleurotus nebrodensis. Lineage: Eukaryota; Fungi; Basidiomycota; Agaricomycetes; Agaricales; Pleurotaceae. The record is from RNAcentral.